AGGCUGGGGUUCUUAACUGCGCUCAGACUAAAAUUAUACGACAGCAAGUUUUUGAUUUGAUGGACAAACUCAGACCUGAAGCAGUGGCUUUGGUUGACGCGUUUGAUCAUUCAGAUUACGUACUCAACUCUCCACUGGGACGCUUCGAUGGCAACGUAUACGAAGACCUUUUUAGAUGGGCUCAAAGGUCAGAGUUAAGUGAUGAACAGGUACAACCGGGCUACUACAAAUAUCUGCGGCCACUCAUGCAAACCAGCAAGUCUAAACUGUAAUAAUAUAAUAAUUAUGAUAUGGAUCAACUUAGGUAUCUUGAAUAUGUCAUUUACAGUAGCGUUUUAACACGAUUUUCUCGCACACAAACUUUAGGCGUGUUAGGACCGAGUGGGGUCCAGUUUGGUCUGUGAUCACACGUCAAGUGAUUAACAAAAGCAGACGACCACAAAGCGGGAGUCUGAUUUUUUUUUUUUUUUUUUUUUUUACUUUCCUCGAAAUUCUCUUCCUCGAAGUCAAUAGCAAACUGAAGAGGUAACCCUUAGCAAAUUCGUUCGUGUAUUCCACUUUAAAAGGCUAAUUGAAACUCAAGGGUUGAUAUCGUGUAGUGUGAUCGUCUGGGUGAGUGCAGUCUUAAGGACUGUUAUCGUUCGUAAUGACUGACGUUUUGACAACAUAAGCAGAGGUCAUCAUCAGAGUCAAGUAUAUUGUUGUUGUCAUUCGAGUUUCUUAAGUCCGGUUCGCGUGAACUGAUUGGUUAGUUUAGCCGUCAUGUUAAUGGCUAGAAGACUCAAGUGGUGUAAGUCGGUCGUGAUUGGUCGGUUUCAAUCCGUCAGUAAUGUUAGGUCGAUCUUUUCGGUUUGUUUGUGGUGUACCGUGAACGUGCAGAUUCUUUUUAAUCUUGAAACGUUAAAAGGCUUAGAUUAUGAUUUCGUUGUUGUUGCUUUUUUUUGUAAAGUAUACAAGUCAAACAUUGUUAAGUGACAAACGACAGUACCCAAAAAACGACAAAAAUUAAUGAAAGCAACAUUUUGUGGUCACUGUGGUAUUUCUUCCUGCAGGUUUCGUAGUUGAUGAAAGCAAAAUAUACAGGAACAAAUAGCAUGUCUGACACACUUUAUUGCUUUAAAAUGGAGUUUUAACUCAACAUGUCAAGGCUACAACGUUAUUGCAAUGAAUCCUGCCCUACAAAACUGAACAAAAUAAUAAUUAUUCAAGGAGAAAAAUUAUAUUUACAACGGUAGCUUAUUAUAAGCACUACUAUUAUAGUUAAAAUACUUAAAAAACGGGCUGCAAUUCAGGAUUAAAAGUUGCAUUUAGCAUUUCAAUAUAGAAAAAAGAAGUGUCACAUCUAAAUCAUAAUUUCCUAAUAAAAUGCAAAUCUGGCCUAUUAUUAACUAAUAUUACCACAUUAAUUAAUUAUAGCAUUAUAAUCAUUGUCAUAAUUAUGGUAUUAUAUUAUUACCCAUAUCUUCAUGAACAUCAAAGCUACACACUGCAAGAAAUUUCAUGCUGCCACGCCUCUGUUCAGUAAUAACAGAUGAUAUCAAAAUGUGGUAAGAUUUCAAACCACAUUGUGACGUCAUCUCUAACCAUAUUUUUUAUAUUUAUAUAAUAAAGAAGCAAAAUAUCA
This 1624-nucleotide long non-coding RNA is filed under the name Stylophora pistillata. RNAcentral's name for it is "uncharacterized LOC111333869". Lineage: Eukaryota; Metazoa; Cnidaria; Anthozoa; Scleractinia; Pocilloporidae. The record is from RNAcentral.